This 508-nucleotide long non-coding RNA is filed under the name Setaria viridis. RNAcentral's name for it is "long non-coding RNA (SVIR_LNC000430)". Lineage: Eukaryota; Viridiplantae; Streptophyta; Magnoliopsida; Poales; Poaceae. The record is from RNAcentral.
AAGCCCUGCCUUGGAAGCAUCAGCCUCCCCAGUGGCGAGAGUGUCAAGAAGUCCCUGUUCAAAAUGUAUUAUCCAACAGUCUUUUAGAUAUUCGAAUAGCAGCACAAAUGAAAGCAAGUAAAAGCAAGUAAUCAAUUUAGACCUGGUAGAGAUUUGCAUGAAUCAGGGCCUGGUUUGCUGACUUUGAGUAUGAGUCUAAGCGCAUUGACUCGACUUUAACAUACCAUUCAACCAAUAAUUGUUGGAACAAACAUCCAGCAUGAAAGAACACGUUGAACUGGCCUUCCCGUAUCUGAAGCUUGUAACACUUCUAUUCUCUCACGCUGACCCAUCGGCGUGAACCUCCAGUUUCUAAGAUGAAUAUAACAGAACACCACGAUAUAUAAACUGAUAUUUCAUGGUUCCAAUAAACAUAUCUAAUCUAAAAUGUUAAAAUGUUACCUAGCCCUUCCACGUCGCCAUACAUAUUUUCAUUUGGAUCACUUUCAUGAUCAAAACCUACAAAAUC